GACGAACGCUGGCGGCGUGCCUAAUACAUGCAAGUCGAGCGAGUCUGCCUUGAAGAUCGGAGUGCUUGCACUCUGUGAAACAAGAUACAGGCUAGCGGCGGACGGGUGAGUAACACGUGGGUAACCUGCCCAAGAGAUCGGGAUAACACCUGGAAACAGAUGCUAAUACCGGAUAACAACAGAUGAUGCCUAUCAACUGUUUAAAAGAUGGUUCUGCUAUCACUCUUGGAUGGACCUGCGGUGCAUUAGCUAGUUGGUAGGGUAACGGCCUACCAAGGCGAUGAUGCAUAGCCGAGUUGAGAGACUGAUCGGCCACAUUGGGACUGAGACACGGCCCAAGCUCCUACGGGAGGCAGCAGUAGGGAAUCUUCCACAAUGGACGCAAGUCUGAUGGAGCAACGCCGCGUGAGUGAAGAAGGGUUUCGGCUCGUAAAGCUCUGUCGUUGGUGAAGAAGGACAGGGGUAGUAACUGACCUUUGUUUGACGGUAAUCAAUUAGAAAGUCACGGCUAACUACGUG
RNAcentral lists this ribosomal RNA (519 nucleotides) under uncultured bacterium. Its description in RNAcentral is "partial 16S ribosomal RNA". It matches the Rfam family "Bacterial small subunit ribosomal RNA", at positions 28 to 507 of the family's 1533-position model. The record is from RNAcentral.